Molecule: ribosomal RNA, 460 nt
Filed under: uncultured bacterium
Lineage: Bacteria
Description: partial 16S ribosomal RNA
Rfam family: Bacterial small subunit ribosomal RNA
Source: RNAcentral
CCUACGGGCGGCAGCAGUGAGGAAUAUUGGUCAAUGGCCGUAAGGCUGAACCAGCCAAGUCGCGUGAAGGAAGAAGGAUCUAUGGUUUGUAAACUUCUUUUAUAGAGGAAUAAAGGUAUCCACGUGUGGAUAUUUGCAUGUACUCUAUGAAUAAGCAUCGGCUAACUCCGUGCCAGCAGCCGCGGUAAUACGGAGGAUGCGAGCGUUAUCCGGAUUUAUUGGGUUUAAAGGGUGCGUAGGUGGGUUGUUAAGUCAGCGGUGAAAGUUUGUGGCUCAACCGUAAAAUUGCAGUUGAUACUGGAAGUCUUGAGUAUGGUUGAGGUAGGCGGAAUGCGUGGUGUAGCGGUGAAAUGCAUAGAUAUCACGAAGAACUCCGAUUGCGAAGGCAGCUUACUAAGCUAUAACUGACACUGAAGCACGAAAGUGUGGGGAUCAAACAGGAUUAGAUACCCUUGUAGUC